This is a non-coding RNA of Callithrix jacchus (white-tufted-ear marmoset), 2297 nucleotides long. The record is from RefSeq and is a predicted model, not a curated record. NCBI's taxonomy places the organism in Eukaryota, Metazoa, Chordata, Mammalia, Primates, Cebidae.
GGUGCACUGCCUGUCCUGUCCCCGCGCCGCCCCGCCAAACAUGUACCCCACUCGUGGGGGUCGCCGCAGAGUCCCCAGGCCGGGGCGCUGGGCCGGGCGGCGGGAGGCGCCGGGGAGGAGGGGCGCUUAGGGACCCGCGCCCCCGCGCCUCUAAUCCCCGUUCCGCGAGCGCGCCCGGCCCGCCGGUCCCAACUUUACCGCCGCCGGCCGAGCCCCGUCAGCCCGCGGCGCGCACCGCCGGCGCCCGCGCACACGCGCGCACAGACCCCACGCAGCCCGUGGCCGCCCCGUCCCGCCACCGCCCGCCGCGCGCCCACAACCCGGCCCGAGUGGCGGGGCCCGAGCGAAGGCGCCGGCCGGGGCCGCGGCGCGCGGAAGCCACUUUGCACGGUCAGCGCCGGGCACAAGUUUGUUCCGCGGCUCCCGGGGGCCUGGGCGCUGAGGGAGAAUCCCACUGAGGGGGCCGGGAGGAGGGGGAGAGGGAGGCGCCGAAGGGCACAAGAGUGGGGAAAAGUGAGGAAAGAAGCAACAGCCGCUCCACCCGGGACCAGAAAAGUGGCCGGCGCGUCCCGGCCGCCCGCCCUGCGCCGGGGAUGCGGCGGCGGCGGCGGCGGCGGCUAACGGUCCAGGGAGGCGGCAGGGGCGGCGGGAGCCGCUAGGCGGAGAGAGACCAGAAAUCCUCACCCAGAAGUCUCUGACCUUCUUGAGACUGGUGGAAAGAAAAACCCUGGGAUUCCACAAAAACUCAAGACCAAACCUACUGACUGGUGCCCUCUCUAAGAAGAAACACAACUGUAAUUUUCCCUGAGGUAGACAGCCUGGAAUUCCUCUGCACACUCAGUCAGGUGGACAGAGAGACCAAAUUACUGCAACUUGCUUCUUAAUGUAUGUGAAUUUCUUAGUUAAUGCAACAGAAUCUACUGAGCAGCUUCUACAUAAAAAGAACUCUGUCUGGAACUGGAAAGGUGCCUUGGGAUUGAGGACUGAGCUCUAGAUUUCUGAAACCAUGUUACCGAUGGGUAGGAUGUCCCGUGCCAGCACUUUCCAGCCAGGGAUUGCUGUAUGUCAACCUGCCAAGGCUCUCAUUCCUGCACGCUGCCAACCUGCCUGGGCAUCCUUCUGUAAGACUUCUGAUGAGCAUUUAGAAGACAUACACUUACCAACCCUUCCCAGGUGUGAAACCCCAUGGAAAGACUGGCAUAUUUGCUACUUAAUGCAAUCUCCUCUUUACAACUAAUCCUCCAAGACAGGUUUCACAGGACCCUCUGUGAGGCUCUGCCCAGGGAUUGCCCUCCUGUCUGUAGAGUCCUGUAUCUGGAGCUACCCAGAAGCCACUCCACCUCUUCCACAGGGGAGUCUCGCUCUAUUGCCUAGGCUGGAGUACAGUAGCGUGAUGUCAGCUCACUGCGACCUCCGCCCCAGGUUCAAGCGAUCCUCCUGUCUCAGCCUCUCUAGUAGCUGGGAUUACAGGCGUCUGCCACCAUGCCCGGGUGAUAUACCUGCUCCCCCUUCACCUUCUGCCAUAAUUGGAAGCUUCCUGAGGCCCUCACCAGAAGCAGAUGCUGGCACCAUGCUUCUUGUACAGUCUGCAGAACUGUGAGCCAAAUAAACCUCUCUUUUAAAAAAAUAAAUUACCCAAUCUCAAGUAUUCCUUUAUUGUGGUGAUCGCUCCUGCGAAGGGCCCUUGACAGGAUCCUCGCCAUCUUGAGCUUGAGCCCAUACACAUUUCUCCUCUCCUGGAGGCUGUUGAGCUAAGGGAAAGGAGGAAGUCUGGUUGCACUGAUUUUAUAAACAUCAAUCUUUGCCUCUGACAUUUGCAACAGAAUGGCUGAGCUCAGGCCUUGUGGUCUAAUGAGACAUUGUAUGGGUAGACAUUGUGUGCCUCCUAGUUCCUUCUCUGCACAACAACUUUAUGACUUCAUUUACCUCUGCUAACUCAAUCAUAGUGUUUGCAUAUGAUUCUAUAUGAAUAGGCAAGGUUAGAGUGACAUUUGGAAAGGUCCAGCUAUACCUUGUUAACAAUCUUACUUGCUUGCUUAACUGAUUUUAGAAAAACACGUUUAGAUUUAUGAUCCCCUUUUUGUAAGCUUUAUUGUCCCUUUGCUGUAUACGCUUUGAUUAAGAGUCAUACUUUCUAUACCCCUUUUCUUGUGAUUUUUUGUUCUUGACUUUAUUUCAAGAUACAAUGGAAUGUACAUCACUCCUCAAACACUGAAAGGUAUAUAACCUGUAGUUUGCACAAAUAAACUUGCUGUCUUGGCACUUCUUGCUCCCGCAUUGCCUGGCAGUCCUCCAGA